This is a long non-coding RNA of Rosa rugosa (rugosa rose), 1158 nucleotides long. RefSeq lists it as uncharacterized. The record is from RefSeq and is a predicted model, not a curated record. Lineage: Eukaryota; Viridiplantae; Streptophyta; Magnoliopsida; Rosales; Rosaceae. The transcript is spliced from 6 exons.
UACUUUGGAGGAAAAAGAAGAGGAGGAGACGAACAAAAUGUUGUCUAUAAAUGGCAUUGUUAAAGGCCAACUUUUGAACGGGCUCUGCACUGCUCACUAUGUGGAUGAUGAGUUGAAGUAACAAUACUCAUUCAAGGAUGAGUUGUCGUCUUUUAUCCCAUUUAUUUCGCUGCCUUCAAAUGCAUUGUCAUUUGCUUUUAAGCGUCGCUUCGAUCCUUCAGACAAGUUGAGGUUCUAUGGUGGCUACGUUCAGCUGCCCUUUGGAUGUCAUCAAGACCAGGUUACAGGUCUACGGCAUGCUUACCGGUCAAAGAGAGGAUGGUGGCAAACUCUCAAUUGGUGAAAAUAUGAUAGAUGCUGCUGGGACUGCCACAGCCAUUUCAACAAAUCCAUUGUGGGUUGUUAAGACAAGACUGCAAAUCUACCUUCCAAAUACAUACGAGACAGUGCAUUUGAACCGCAAUGUUGGGCUGCUCCAGGGAUACAUAUGAUACCUGCUUCUACCUAGGAUUUCCACUUUUGUAAUAUGCAAGUAUAAUUGUAGGUUAUUUCAGGUGUCUUGGACAUUCUAAUCUUCAGAUUCCUCCAUUUGUUUAGAUAGAUCUUUUUCAGAUCAUUCUAGCUCAAGCAUUGAGUAUAGGUUAUCUAAAUUCAUGCUUAUUUAAAUAGUUUGGCAUAGUGGGUGAUGACAGAUGGUUGUUUCUUUCCUAAAAGUCAUUCGUUGUUUCUUUCCAUUUUGUGAAUGUACAGAUGGUUUCAACAAUGAAGAAGUCGAUCUUUGAUGAACAAACUAACAAGGCCUUAAGGAAAUUGCAAAAGAAUGCUCAAAAGAAGAGAAGGCAUCAUGAUGUGGUUCGAGCUGAAUGGGCAAAUCAUGUUAUACAGUUCUAACUUUGGUUCUGUUUCAGGUAGAUGAGUAGCACUUGGAACUGCUUUUGUGCAUUUAUAUACAACUGAUGGAAAGAGUUGAUGAACUUAAAUUAUGCAUGCAGUUGCUCUGUCUAGCUACUCUUUCUUUACCUUAUAGGUUUUUGACUUGGUGCAAUUAAAUGAUCGAGAUAAGAUGGUUUUUUGGUUCUCUCGAUCAUAAUGUAACUGUUGGCUAGGUUUAGAGUUGGAACUAUGGAUUGUAUUUUGGAUGAUGUUGAUGCAAUUAAU